Molecule: ribosomal RNA, 427 nt
Filed under: uncultured bacterium
Lineage: Bacteria
Description: partial 16S ribosomal RNA
Rfam family: Bacterial small subunit ribosomal RNA
Source: RNAcentral
UGGGGAGUAUUGCACAAUGGGCGCAAGCCUGAUGCAGCCAUGCCGCGUGUAUGAAGAAGGCCUUCGGGUUGUAAAGUACUUUCAGCGAGGAGGAAGGCGGUAAGGUUAAUAACCUUAUCGAUUGACGUUACUCGCAGAAGAAGCACCGGCUAACUCCGUGCCAGCAGCCGCGGUAAUACGGAGGGUGCAAGCGUUAAUCGGAAUUACUGGGCGUAAAGCGCACGCAGGCGGUCUGUCAAGUCGGAUGUGAAAUCCCCGGGCUCAACCUGGGAACUGCAUUCGAAACUGGCAGGCUAGAGUCUUGUAGAGGGGGGUAGAAUUCCAGGUGUAGCGGUGAAAUGCGUAGAGAUCUGGAGGAAUACCGGUGGCGAAGGCGGCCCCCUGGACAAAGACUGACGCUCAGGUGCGAAAGCGUGGGGAGCAAACA